Molecule: long non-coding RNA, 248 nt
Filed under: Homo sapiens (human)
Lineage: Eukaryota; Metazoa; Chordata; Mammalia; Primates; Hominidae
Description: HSALNT0319679
Source: RNAcentral
UGCAAACUCACCUUGGAAUAAAGCAGAGCUGGGCCUCAAUUAUUCCCCUUUUCUCCUGGAUCUUCCUUCAGUGUCACUGACUCCUGGACCAGGUGAUGCUGAUGCACAGUUGAGGGGUGUGAAAAAUCAAGCAAAACUCUCCGUGAAUGCUGAAUGACAACCACAAGCUCUGUUUGUUGAGGAUCUGGAGUGAGUUCUGCCAGCUGCCUUUGGCCCAGAUCUCCAUGGAGUGACUCAUCAUACCUCUG